This 374-nucleotide ribosomal RNA is filed under the name uncultured organism. RNAcentral describes it as "partial 16S ribosomal RNA". It matches the Rfam family "Bacterial small subunit ribosomal RNA", at positions 527 to 896 of the family's 1533-position model. The record is from RNAcentral.
GUAGGUGGCAAGCGUUGUCCGGAAUUAUUGGGCGUAAAGCGCGCGCAGGCGGUUCUUUAAGUCUGAUGUGAAAGCCCACGGCUCAACCGUGGAGGGUCAUUGGAAACUGGAGAACUUGAGUACAGAAGAGGAAAGCGGAAUUCCACGUGUAGCGGUGAAAUGCGUAGAGAUGUGGAGGAACACCAGUGGCGAAGGCGGCUUUCUGGUCUGUAACUGACGCUGAGGCGCGAAAGCGUGGGGAGCAAACAGGGAUUGGAUACCCUGGUAGUCCACGCCGUAAACGAUGAGUGCUAAGUGUUAGGGGGUUUCCGCCCCCGUUAGUGCUGCAGCUAACGCAUUAAGCACUCCGCCUGGGGAGUACGGCCGCAAGGCUG